This 253-nucleotide ribosomal RNA is filed under the name uncultured bacterium. RNAcentral's name for it is "partial 16S ribosomal RNA". It matches the Rfam family "Bacterial small subunit ribosomal RNA", at positions 524 to 776 of the family's 1533-position model. The record is from RNAcentral.
UACAGAGGAUGCAAGCGUUAUCCGGAAUGAUCGGGCGUAAAGCGUCUGUAGGUGGCUUUUUAAGUCCGCCGUCAAAUCCCAGGGCUCAACUCUGGACAGGCGGUGGAAACUACCAAGCUGGAGUACGGUAGGGGCAGAGGGAAUUUCCGGUGGAGCGGUGAAAUGCGUAGAGAUCGGAAAGAACACCAGCGGCGAAAGCACUCUGCUGGGCCGAUACUGACGCUGAGGAGCGAAAGCGUGGGGAGCGAACAGG